UACCAGCACCCCGAGUGGUCGGGACGUUUAUUGGGCCUAAAGCAUCCGUAGCCGGUUCUACAAGUCUUCCGUUAAAUCCACCUGCUUAACAGAUGGGCUGCGGAGGAUACUAUAGAGCUAGGAGGCGGGAGAGGCAAGCGGUACUUAGUGGGUAGGGGUAAAAUCCGUUGAUCCAUUGAAGACCACCAGUGGCGAAGGCGGCUUGCCAGAACGCACUCGACGGUGAGGGAUGAAAGCUGGGGGAGCAAACCGG
Molecule: ribosomal RNA, 253 nt
Filed under: uncultured bacterium
Lineage: Bacteria
Description: partial 16S ribosomal RNA
Rfam family: Archaeal small subunit ribosomal RNA
Source: RNAcentral